CCACGUCAGCAGGCCCAGUCAGCAGUCCUGGCCAACCAGGACCUGCCACGUGGCAAGACCACGUCGACCCGGGGACGGGCCACGUUGGCGAUCCGCGUACGCGCGAUCGGACGACCCAGAUCAAGCGUGCGCACGGACGGCCCAGAUGCAAUCGCACGGACGGUCCAGAUUCAAUCAAAAACGGACGGCCCAGAUUAAAUCAAAAUGGACGGCUGAGAUCAAAAGGCAAAAGGGUAUAAAUAGAACCCCCACACCUGACCACAAAAACCCUAGCCGCCUGCCCUCGUCGGAGAAGACGAACCAGACGCCGGAGGAGCCGGCCGCCGCCACCCGCCGUCGCACC
Molecule: long non-coding RNA, 343 nt
Filed under: Carica papaya (papaya)
Lineage: Eukaryota; Viridiplantae; Streptophyta; Magnoliopsida; Brassicales; Caricaceae
Description: long non-coding RNA (CPAP_LNC016511)
Source: RNAcentral